Long non-coding RNA from Myotis davidii, 590 nucleotides. RefSeq lists it as uncharacterized. The record is from RefSeq and is a predicted model, not a curated record. NCBI's taxonomy places the organism in Eukaryota, Metazoa, Chordata, Mammalia, Chiroptera, Vespertilionidae. The transcript is spliced from 2 exons.
CCCCCGCCUCCCCUGGGCGGUCAGUCAUUCGGCAGCACAAAGACCAGUUUGGGCUGCGCCUCCAAGUGACGCUGGUGACGCUGGAUGCGCGCUUCUUCCAGCUUUCCACCCGGCGCGGCAGGGUGCUGCGGCUGCGGGGAGGAUGGGUGUUCCUGAAUCCACCUGGAACACUUGGGAAGACAAACGUCGGCCGUUCCUUCUCCUUCAGAACAAGUCUGGGCCAGCUGGGACUGACCAGAAACCGCAAGCGGAGGAGACGCAGGCACAGGGAUUGAGCCCCAAAGGAGGGCGAGACCUGCCACCCGUGCACCCGAGCAGCGCAGUCUGACCAGCACUCUGCUGGGUCAGGGUGGAGGGAAGCACUGGCCAGUUACCUCCUCCCACAGGCCCAGCACUGCCUCCCACCAGCUCUGCCCUGGGACCACUCAGGGUGCCCAGCACCUGUCCAACAUGCCUGCCCCUCCACCUGCUCCUCAGUGAUUCUGCAUCCCCUUCUCCCCCCAGACCUCCUGCUUGUUCAUGUGACACUCUUGAACACUGUUCUACGCCCAGAAAGGGCCAAACCCAUCUCAGAUAACAGGACCAAAAAA